Molecule: ribosomal RNA, 2902 nt
Filed under: Escherichia coli
Lineage: Bacteria; Pseudomonadati; Pseudomonadota; Gammaproteobacteria; Enterobacterales; Enterobacteriaceae
Description: bacterial LSU rRNA
Rfam family: Bacterial large subunit ribosomal RNA
Source: RNAcentral
UUAAGCGACUAAGCGUACACGGUGGAUGCCCUGGCAGUCAGAGGCGAUGAAGGACGUGCUAAUCUGCGAUAAGCGUCGGUAAGGUGAUAUGAACCGUUAUAACCGGCGAUUUCCGAAUGGGGAAACCCAGUGUGUUUCGACACACUAUCAUUAACUGAAUCCAUAGGUUAAUGAGGCGAACCGGGGGAACUGAAACAUCUAAGUACCCCGAGGAAAAGAAAUCAACCGAGAUUCCCCCAGUAGCGGCGAGCGAACGGGGAGGAGCCCAGAGCCUGAAUCAGUGUGUGUGUUAGUGGAAGCGUCUGGAAAGGCGCGCGAUACAGGGUGACAGCCCCGUACACAAAAAUGCACAUGCUGUGAGCUCGAUGAGUAGGGCGGGACACGUGGUAUCCUGUCUGAAUAUGGGGGGACCAUCCUCCAAGGCUAAAUACUCCUGACUGACCGAUAGUGAACCAGUACCGUGAGGGAAAGGCGAAAAGAACCCCGGCGAGGGGAGUGAAAAAGAACCUGAAACCGUGUACGUACAAGCAGUGGGAGCCUCUUUUAUGGGGUGACUGCGUACCUUUUGUAUAAUGGGUCAGCGACUUAUAUUCUGUAGCAAGGUUAACCGAAUAGGGGAGCCGAAGGGAAACCGAGUCUUAACUGGGCGUUAAGUUGCAGGGUAUAGACCCGAAACCCGGUGAUCUAGCCAUGGGCAGGUUGAAGGUUGGGUAACACUAACUGGAGGACCGAACCGACUAAUGUUGAAAAAUUAGCGGAUGACUUGUGGCUGGGGGUGAAAGGCCAAUCAAACCGGGAGAUAGCUGGUUCUCCCCGAAAGCUAUUUAGGUAGCGCCUCGUGAAUUCAUCUCCGGGGGUAGAGCACUGUUUCGGCAAGGGGGUCAUCCCGACUUACCAACCCGAUGCAAACUGCGAAUACCGGAGAAUGUUAUCACGGGAGACACACGGCGGGUGCUAACGUCCGUCGUGAAGAGGGAAACAACCCAGACCGCCAGCUAAGGUCCCAAAGUCAUGGUUAAGUGGGAAACGAUGUGGGAAGGCCCAGACAGCCAGGAUGUUGGCUUAGAAGCAGCCAUCAUUUAAAGAAAGCGUAAUAGCUCACUGGUCGAGUCGGCCUGCGCGGAAGAUGUAACGGGGCUAAACCAUGCACCGAAGCUGCGGCAGCGACGCUUAUGCGUUGUUGGGUAGGGGAGCGUUCUGUAAGCCUGUGAAGGUGUGCUGUGAGGCAUGCUGGAGGUAUCAGAAGUGCGAAUGCUGACAUAAGUAACGAUAAAGCGGGUGAAAAGCCCGCUCGCCGGAAGACCAAGGGUUCCUGUCCAACGUUAAUCGGGGCAGGGUGAGUCGACCCCUAAGGCGAGGCCGAAAGGCGUAGUCGAUGGGAAACAGGUUAAUAUUCCUGUACUUGGUGUUACUGCGAAGGGGGGACGGAGAAGGCUAUGUUGGCCGGGCGACGGUUGUCCCGGUUUAAGCGUGUAGGCUGGUUUUCCAGGCAAAUCCGGAAAAUCAAGGCUGAGGCGUGAUGACGAGGCACUACGGUGCUGAAGCAACAAAUGCCCUGCUUCCAGGAAAAGCCUCUAAGCAUCAGGUAACAUCAAAUCGUACCCCAAACCGACACAGGUGGUCAGGUAGAGAAUACCAAGGCGCUUGAGAGAACUCGGGUGAAGGAACUAGGCAAAAUGGUGCCGUAACUUCGGGAGAAGGCACGCUGAUAUGUAGGUGAAGUCCCUCGCGGAUGGAGCUGAAAUCAGUCGAAGAUACCAGCUGGCUGCAACUGUUUAUUAAAAACACAGCACUGUGCAAACACGAAAGUGGACGUAUACGGUGUGACGCCUGCCCGGUGCCGGAAGGUUAAUUGAUGGGGUCAGCGCAAGCGAAGCUCUUGAUCGAAGCCCCGGUAAACGGCGGCCGUAACUAUAACGGUCCUAAGGUAGCGAAAUUCCUUGUCGGGUAAGUUCCGACCUGCACGAAUGGCGUAAUGAUGGCCAGGCUGUCUCCACCCGAGACUCAGUGAAAUUGAACUCGCUGUGAAGAUGCAGUGUACCCGCGGCAAGACGGAAAGACCCCGUGAACCUUUACUAUAGCUUGACACUGAACAUUGAGCCUUGAUGUGUAGGAUAGGUGGGAGGCUUUGAAGUGUGGACGCCAGUCUGCAUGGAGCCGACCUUGAAAUACCACCCUUUAAUGUUUGAUGUUCUAACGUUGACCCGUAAUCCGGGUUGCGGACAGUGUCUGGUGGGUAGUUUGACUGGGGCGGUCUCCUCCUAAAGAGUAACGGAGGAGCACGAAGGUUGGCUAAUCCUGGUCGGACAUCAGGAGGUUAGUGCAAUGGCAUAAGCCAGCUUGACUGCGAGCGUGACGGCGCGAGCAGGUGCGAAAGCAGGUCAUAGUGAUCCGGUGGUUCUGAAUGGAAGGGCCAUCGCUCAACGGAUAAAAGGUACUCCGGGGAUAACAGGCUGAUACCGCCCAAGAGUUCAUAUCGACGGCGGUGUUUGGCACCUCGAUGUCGGCUCAUCACAUCCUGGGGCUGAAGUAGGUCCCAAGGGUAUGGCUGUUCGCCAUUUAAAGUGGUACGCGAGCUGGGUUUAGAACGUCGUGAGACAGUUCGGUCCCUAUCUGCCGUGGGCGCUGGAGAACUGAGGGGGGCUGCUCCUAGUACGAGAGGACCGGAGUGGACGCAUCACUGGUGUUCGGGUUGUCAUGCCAAUGGCACUGCCCGGUAGCUAAAUGCGGAAGAGAUAAGUGCUGAAAGCAUCUAAGCACGAAACUUGCCCCGAGAUGAGUUCUCCCUGACCCUUUAAGGGUCCUGAAGGAACGUUGAAGACGACGACGUUGAUAGGCCGGGUGUGUAAGCGCAGCGAUGCGUUGAGCUAACCGGUACUAAUGAACCGUGAGGCUUAACCUU